This is a long non-coding RNA of Stylophora pistillata, 155 nucleotides long. Lineage: Eukaryota; Metazoa; Cnidaria; Anthozoa; Scleractinia; Pocilloporidae. The record is from RefSeq and is a predicted model, not a curated record.
UGAAGAGAGCAUCACUGUUUUAUUUGGUGUUGAGGCUUUUUCAGAGGAUCACUCUUGUGUCACUCUGAAAACUGAGACAAAUGUGACUGUUGGUUGCCCUUUUAACCGGCAUAUAGUCUCCAGAGGAAAACCUACCAGAUGUAGCAGUUUCAAAA